RNAcentral lists this ribosomal RNA (241 nucleotides) under Saiga tatarica. RNAcentral describes it as "partial 12S ribosomal RNA". Lineage: Eukaryota; Metazoa; Chordata; Mammalia; Artiodactyla; Bovidae. The record is from RNAcentral.
CGGCAACAGCCUAAAACUCAAAGGACUUGGCGGUGCUUUAUACCCUUCUAGAGGAGCCUGUUCUAUAAUCGAUAAACCCCGAUAAACCUCACCAGUCCUUGCUAAUACAGUCUAUAUACCGCCAUCUUCAGCAAACCCUAAAAAGGAAUAAAAGUAAGCACAAUUAUAAGACAUAAAAACGUUAGGUCAAGGUGUAACCUAUGGAGUGGGAAGAAAUGGGCUACAUUUUCUACCUUAAGAA